GGGGAAUAUUGCGCAAUGGGGGCAACCCUGACGCAGCCAUGCCGCGUGAAUGAAGAAGGCCUUCGGGUUGUAAAGUUCUUUCGGUAGCGAGGAAGGCAUUUAGUUUAAUAGACUAGGUGAUUGACGUUAACUACAGAAGAAGCACCGGCUAACUCCGUGCCAGCAGCCGCGGUAAUACGGAGGGUGCGAGCGUUAAUCGGAAUAACUGGGCGUAAAGGGCACGCAGGCGGUUAUUUAAGUGAGGUGUGAAAGCCCCGGGCUUAACCUGGGAAUUGCAUUUCAGACUGGGUAACUAGAGUACUUUAGGGAGGGGUAGAAUUCCACGUGUAGCGGUGAAAUGCGUAGAGAUGUGGAGGAAUACCGAAGGCGAAGGCAGCCCCUUGGGAAUGUACUGACGCUCAUGUGCGAAAGCGUGGGGAGCAAACAGGAUUAGAUACCCUGGUAGUCCACGCUGUAAACGCUGUCGAUUUGGGGAUUGGGCUUAAAGCUUGGUGCCCGUAGCUAACGUGAUAAAUCGACCGCCUGGGGAGUACGGCCGCAAGGUUA
This 546-nucleotide ribosomal RNA is filed under the name uncultured bacterium. RNAcentral describes it as "bacterial SSU rRNA". It matches the Rfam family "Bacterial small subunit ribosomal RNA", at positions 356 to 896 of the family's 1533-position model. The record is from RNAcentral.